CUCUGUGUCCUUUCCAUGCCUUCAUGAGACCAAGGAUUCCUCUGAUAAAGACUUUCUGCUUUCCUACCAGCUCCAUGAUUGGGAAAGUUCCAGGGAGCCAAGGCCUAGACUGUGUACAGCAGAAGAGAGCAGUUGAGAUGAUGUGUUGAGUAUUCAUGGAAACCAGGAGGUAGACCAUCAAACUGAGUAUUGGAAGGAGGCAGCUGCUGGACAAAUACCAGGAGGACCAGAGGAGUGAAUGUUGGGUGGCAGAAUCCCAGAGGGAAACCCACGAAGCAAAUGGAGAAUGACCCCCUCUCUGUGGAGGCCAUCGCCUGCCAGAAGCAGCAAUGACCCUGAACUGAGUUCCCCGACCCCAGCCUGUUCAAGGUGUGGCCCUUCCCUGACAAGCUCUCGCUCUCAGCAUUCAUGGCCUCCCUGGAUGGUUCAGUCCCUCACCUGGAUGGGUGCCUCUGCAG
Monodelphis domestica (gray short-tailed opossum) is the source of this 458-nucleotide non-coding RNA. The record is from RefSeq and is a predicted model, not a curated record. Lineage: Eukaryota; Metazoa; Chordata; Mammalia; Didelphimorphia; Didelphidae.